RNAcentral lists this long non-coding RNA (849 nucleotides) under Salmo salar (Atlantic salmon). Its description in RNAcentral is "lncRNA (ENSSSAG00000107582.1)". Lineage: Eukaryota; Metazoa; Chordata; Actinopteri; Salmoniformes; Salmonidae. The record is from RNAcentral.
GAGAGAGAGAGAGACAGAGUGCAUGUGUGUGCAUUUCAAAGAUCCCUCAUGGUUCUGCCUGUUUGUUCAGAUGGUGUUUCAGAAAGCCACUAUUUCUAAGUUAUUGCAUCAGUGUGUUUGAUCUCGCAGAUGUAGAAAGGCGGUUUAAACUUGCUGCUGCAGUGGGGGGGGAUCUCUGUUCUUUCCUAAAUGAAACACAGUCCCUGAAUUCCUUCAUGUUGUCAAUAUUAUGCUAUUCUGCUCUGUGUUACGUGUUUGAAAUGGAUAUCCACAAAUACUGUAGCACGGACAUCUGAUUUCACAAGGGUUUAUUUCACAAGCUUUUAUUUUUAAAAGGCUUCUAUUUUAUAUGCAUAACAUGAUACUCACGGUAACUUCCUGGUUCAGCUCAGCAGUUUCCCCACCAACUGCCAAUGGGAGUCAUCGAUGGGAUUUAAUGAAUCAGCAUCUUGAUUUCAUUACUUUUGGAACCGUAGCCACGUAAUGUGUGCUGUAGCUAACGCUAACUUGGGAAUCUCCUAUCAACUUCAAUGGUGUGUAGUUAAUGUUACCUUGGCCAAUGUCAGCUGGUUUAGCUAACCGCCCUAUAUCACAGCAACGUUUAAACUUCCCAGCUCCUCUGGGAUAUAUUUUCUCCUUCACUUCGAGGAUGGAAGUGGAAUAAAUAAAUCACAUGAUAUCCUGAAGUCGGCUCAAAACAAAACAAAAGCCUACAUGGACAGUGGCACUCCUGCACUUGUAAAUACAUCUUUCUGCACUUGAAGAGCUUUAGACUUGUAAUGGGUGAUUCUGUAAAGGGUGAUUCUGUAAUGGGUGAUUCUGUAAUGGGUGAUUCUGUAAUGGGUGAUU